RNAcentral lists this ribosomal RNA (446 nucleotides) under uncultured bacterium. RNAcentral's name for it is "bacterial SSU rRNA". It matches the Rfam family "Bacterial small subunit ribosomal RNA", at positions 329 to 792 of the family's 1533-position model. The record is from RNAcentral.
GUCCAGACUCCUACGGGAGGCAGCAGUGGGGAAUAUUGGACAAUGGGGGAAACCCUGAUGCAGCGACGCCGCGUGGGUGAAGAAGCGCCUCGGCGCGUAAAGCCCUGUCAGCAGGGAAGAAAAUGACAGUACCUGACUAAGAAGCCCCGGCUAACUACGUGCCAGCAGCCGCGGUAAUACGUAGGGGGCAAGCGUUAUCCGGAUUUACUGGGUGUAAAGGGAGCGUAGACGGCUGCGCAAGUCAGAAGUGAAAGCCCGGGGCUCAACCGCGGGACUGCUUUUGAAACUGUGUAGCUAGAGUGCAGGAGAGGUAGGUGGAAUUCUUGGUGUAGGGGUAAAAUGCGUAGAUAUCAGGAGGAACACCGGUGGCGAAGGCGGCCUGCUGGACUGCAACUGACGUUGAGGCCCGAAAGCGUGGGGAGCAAACAGGAUUAGAUACCCCUGUA